This 6449-nucleotide long non-coding RNA is filed under the name Triticum aestivum (bread wheat). RNAcentral describes it as "long non-coding RNA (TAES_LNC018712)". Lineage: Eukaryota; Viridiplantae; Streptophyta; Magnoliopsida; Poales; Poaceae. The record is from RNAcentral.
CAAGCAGUCUGGGCGUGCCAAGAGGGUCAAGGACUCCGCCGCCAAGAUUCGUCGCAGACACCACAUUGCCGCUCGGCAGGAACCCAUCAUCACCGACAUGAAGUCGAAGGUGAAUCGCACCGGGGCGACCAAGUUCAGCCUUGGCAAGGCCACCACAGAACUAGUCACCGCCAUAGUUGGAUCCUAGCUACCUACUUGAUUAGUUUCCUGGAAACAAAGAUGAGUAUGUAUGUGCAAAUCAGAUGCCCUAAUCAUCGCCAGCUUCAUUUAUCUUGCCUUACUUAUCUAUUUGUGCUCAGCUGCUGUCGGAGCCUUGUCUCGGUACUCUGCACAAUUUGUAUCGUUGUUAUUUCGGUUUGCCUCGUAAGACUAUGUGACUUUGUUAUUUUCCGUUGUCGGGCUUUAUUAAUUUAAACCUGAGUGUUUCUUGUGACUUUCUUCUAAAGUAGGUAUGUGCAAGCAAUUUGGAAAAUAAUUUUUUUUGUGUAUCUUGCAUUUGAUUGGAGAAAGUUAACAUUGCCUGCCAUGCAUCUGCCUUCCUAUUUGGUCAAGAACGCACACAAGUUCAGGUUUCUUGCUUUCUGGUGGAUGCUUGAGAUCAGGUUAAAACAACCACAAAAUGUUUAAUUUGCGAGUUUGUCGGGCGGCAACCUUGUAGAUGUGAUGCUGUUGUUUCAAACUGUGCAAAUGGGCCGGUGUAUCUCGUCUGAUGUGAAACAGUAUUUACUUUAGACAGGACGUAUAGUUCAUCUAUUUUUAGUUUGAGCAACUAACUGUGUACGGGAAUUUUCACCUUGUUUUUGUACGUGAUGAUGAUGGCUCUCAUGAGUAACUCUUUUUGUACGUGAUGAUGAUGAUCAUGUGAUUGAAAAAAAGUUUAACUAAACGACAAUAGAAAUUUGGGAAACUCUUCUUGUAUUACUUUCGGUUCUUUCUUUUUCUCGAGGGUAGUACUCUACGCCGGCGUGCCGGCCGAAAUUUUCGGCCGGUCAGCCCCCAGCCGCACGAUGCGCGCGUCCCAACCACAUGAUUCCACACCUCGCCCCCACAUGUGUGUCUCCUUCCUUACGCCAGUCUCCUUCCUCGCGCCCACCAGCCAUGACUCCACGCUUGCCCUUGAGCCUCCCGUGCUCGUCGGCCGCCGUGCUCCCGUCGCCGUUGAGUGGUCGUGGCUUCCUCCCCGGGCGUUUCCAGCUUCCUUGAUAUGUAGUUCCAGCACUGCCGGUGGUGAGCGCCGCAACUCCGGGAAGCAGCGUCGCUGGCUCUCCGUCGGACUGGUUCCAACAUCGAUCUCUCUCCGCCGGUCCGCAGUUGCAUCAUCCCAAAAAUCAAAAGAGGUCACCCCCCUUGUAGCUCCACCGCACCGUGGUUCCAGCUCGCCUGGUAAGCAGCUGCAACAUCCCAGCCGUAGGGGGUACUCUUGCAGCUCCAUCGGACCGCCGCUGCAGCUCCGCUGGACUGCGGUUCCAGCUCUUGUGGCCAUGGUUGCAACACCCCUUGCCUUGUUGCAAGCACGCCAUGCCGGUGGCUAUGUCGUCAUCCAUCACCGAUGCAGCAAAAUUCAUCGCCGAUAGUAGCAAAACCAACAACGGUUGUAGCAAAAAAGGGUCAUAUGUCGUCUCGCCGUGACUGUUUGUAGCAAAAACCGAUACAGGUUGUAGCACCGAGGCUCGCCGGUUGUAGCAAAAAAUCACCAUGCUUGUAACCUCGUCGUCCGCCGGUUCCAGCAAAUUUGCGCCGAGAGGUUGUAGCACCGAGGCUCAUCGGUUAUACCAAAAAAUCACCAUGGUUGUAACCUCGACGUCUACCGCUUCCAGCAAAUUUGCACCGCGGGAGUGUAUCCCGGCAUGGCUGGUUGCAGCUCCGGUGUGGCCGGUCCGGCGAGGUAGGUAGAGCUCCGAUGCAUGUGGAUCCACGCGGAUCUGGUCAAGGGCGGCCAGAUCGGCUGAUUCCCAUGGCGGCGGUGCCCUGGGAGGCCUCCGGGCGGGGCGACGGUUGACAAUGGCAGCGGGGAGAGAGAAGAGAGAGACGAGGCGACAGGAAGAAGAGAAAAAGGAGGGAGAAUACGCAUGUGGGCGGGGCCCCCAUCCUACGUGUUGCUAGGCGAGUCGUUGAGUGCGUUUGCGCGUGGACGUGAUUGGCCAAAGCUUCGGCCAGCGCUCCGUCGUGAAACAUUUUCCUUUUGACAAACGCAUGCAAAACCUUCGGCACAACAGAUUUUUCCAAUGAUGUAAAUAAAUAAUAGUCAAUCCAUGGUCUUUCAUCUGUUAAAAAAAAUCCAUGGUCUUUCCCAAUAAUAAAUAAAUAAUGUUGUGCAAGACGAUGGUGUCAAUUAGCUAUUUUCUUUUACAGGAAUAGGACUUUAUUCAUUGUAUAAUACUAAUCUCAUUUACAAGUUGUCAUGAAAUAAAGUUUAGGGAUCUGAAUCCCAGAAAGCUGAUGUUCUAGAACUGAAAGUAGCCUUUGCUCGGCUAUCAGCAACAUGAUUAGGGUUAUAGAGUCCUAAGCGAUCUAUGGCGAUUGGAGAAGUCCAAUGUCGGUCCGGUCUUCAUGACUUGCAUGACACAUAUGCCGACUUUCUUCUUCUUGGAGAGCCCAUAAGCCAGGCUAGAGUCUGGGGCCCAAUAUUAGCACGGGCCUUAUGUCGGCCUGAUGGGUUGAGUUACGGUGUCCUGCGGCACCCCUGGGCCAUGGCACCGUCCUUGUUGAAUUUGAUCACGGGCCCAAUGGCGUUGAAGAACAUGUCCAUGAUCGCCUUCAUCCAAGUUGUUGCCUCGACGCUAGCCCUCAUGAUGAUGAGUGUAUCAUCCACGCAUUGACUCAAGGGACACGGGGCGUCGUCGGCUAGGGGCUGUCUGGGUAGUGGAUCCCGCGCAAUGAAGCGAUGGAGAAUGUCUGCAACAAGAAGGGAGAGGUAGGGCAGGAUCGUCUGUAUUGUUGCAGGCCCCUCUUGCAACCAAUCCAUUUGUAAUUCAACAUGUUAACAGAGCUGCCAAUUUCCUAGCCCAAUUGUGUGCGGAGCAUGCUUGCUCGCUUCAGCCGAGUGAGGGUUUACUUAACUUAACUCCCUUCUUGGUCACUAGCCUCAUGGGUAUGAUGACUCCAUGACCAUCUUUAAUAAAUGCUCUCAAUUUCCACAACAAAAAAGCAGACAAAAAAAUAGAUGAGCCGAAAUACAAUCUAUCAUCUGAGUUAUACAUUAUCCGAGGUUUACACCUCGUUCUAGUUGUGAAACUUUGGGGCUGAUACUGGAGUCGCUUGAUCGCACUUGCCAAUCACGACAUUCAAUAACAUAGAAGAACUAAUUGCACAAUCAUGAUUAGUAGACCAAUGAACAUAAUAUGUAGGGAGAGAAACUUGGGAGCUCUCGGUCAUUAAUCUUUGGUGGAUUUGUGUACAAGAUCAAGUGAGCUACUCGAUACCCUUGUGUUUUUAUUUAUUUAUCAAAUACUCCCAAAAGGAGAGUACAUAUAGCCAUCCAUUUCUUAGCCCAUAAGAAACCUUUCUUCAUAAGUUUGCUACACUCUUUGGUCACCAAGUUACUUCAUCUCUCAAAGCUUAUGAAGAAGGAACUUGCAUAGCAAGUUUCCUUAGUAGUGAAGCAAAGUUGGAUGAUAAGGUUUCUUAGUAGUGAAACUUGCUUGUUGGGUAAGCUUGUUUAGUGGAGAAGUAAACUUGUAUGGUAAGCUAACUUAGCCAAAAAAACUUUUAUGGUCAAUUUCAUUGCUGAAAAAGAUUGGUCCUCGAUCUUUAUCUAGACAAAACGUGUCCAGAUACAUCUGUAUCUAGACAAAUCUAAAACAACCCUUUUAGAACGAACGAAGUAUGAACUAAAUGUUUGUAUUACGGUAUUAACCGCAUAAUUACGUGUUAUUUCAGACAGUUCCAAAUAUAUUUCGCCGUUUCUCGCAAAAAUAAAAUAAAAUUCGCGAUACUAAAAAAAAUAAUUCGCCAACUGUCACGAUCACAUUGACAGCCGUGCGUCCGUGUUAUGUGUGAACAGGUCGCGCGUGUGGGUUUCUCUCAGCCGAUGUACAAGUAGUUAAGUAGAGCGUGAGACAGUAGGUGGAGCAAAUCCGAUCCCCGCUUCUUCAGUUCGUUCCCUAGCCCCAAUUUCCCCCCUGAACCUCCAGAUCCAGGAGUGUGAGAACGAGCUGCAGCACCAAAACACCGCGCCGCCGCGUGCGCGAUCUCGAAACGAGAUCGACCGACGAUGGAAUCGGAGCCGGCCGCGCUACCCGACGACGCCCUCGCGGAGGUCCUCCGGCGUCUCGCGCCGCACGUCCUGGCCGUGGCCCGGCGGGUCUGCACGGCGUGGCGCGACGCCGUCGACGACCGCCUGUGCGGCAGCCUGCUUCCGCGCUCGGUGCGCGGCAUCUUCAUCAACUUCCCGGGGGAUUACUUCUCGGAGUUCUUCUCCCGCACCUCGACCGGCCCGGCGAUCGACGGAGGGAUUGAUUUCCUGCCCUGCCUGUGCAUGGGCGUCAAGGUCAAGGACCACUGCGAAGGCCUUUGGCUUUGCCGCGAGUCCAGCGACCGCGCACUGCCGCGCCCACGCGAGUACGUCGUCAACCCGGCCACCCGUCGGUGGGCGAGUUUGCCCAAACGCCCCCGGCCGCACAUGCCAGGAUUCAACCACACUGCCCACCUCGCGUUCGAGCCCGCCGUGUCGCCGCACUACCAGGUCUUUCUGAUCCCACGCGUGCCAUGGCGACUGCCAGCCGACGGGGAAUCCGACGACGACGAUGACAACCCGUCGCUCGAGUCGGAGUGGCCUCCCGCGUCAUACCCCAUCCAUGUAUUCUCGUCGGUGACUCAGCGAUGGGACGAGACGACCUUCCUUCGGGAAGGGGAGGCUGCAGGGAUCGUCGCCAACAUGGUGUCGUAUCCGUGGUAUGAUGAGUGUCGUUAUUAUGGCGUCUACUGGCAAAGAACGCUCUACAUCCAAACCAAGAAUUGCUAUCUUACCAGGUAUCAACGUCCUCAUCGGCCAUCAUUCUCCUUUAAAAAAUGUAUACCACCAUGGUUCACUCAUGUGUAUAUUAAUAAUCUGCAUUAUCCGAUUUGUUCAUGUUUGCAGAAUGUCCUUGUCGGAUCACACGUACAGAGUAAUUAAACUACCAGGUGCCAAUGAAUUGAUAGGAUAUCCCAACAACCACCAUCUCGGGAGAUCAUCGCGAGGGGUGUAUUGUGCAAUACUUGAUGUCUUGAAUCGACUUCAGGUUUGGUAUCUCAGUGAAUCUUGCGGUCGAAUAGAAUGGGUGUUAAAACAUCAUACCCGUCUUAAGACCUUUGAAUAUGUCGACUAUGCUCAACAACUGGGCAGACAAUGAAUCUUGCAAAAGGUUAACGUCCGUAAGGGGGACCCUGAGCACAAAGCCCCAGUGGACGAGAAACAUGACUACGACUGGAACUCUAACGAGGAUAAUGUUCUUGACACUGAAGACGUCGUUGAAGAGCCUGAAGACGUCGUUGAAGAGUCUGUAGACGUCGUUGAAGAGGAAAACUACAGACAUUAUUUUUUCCUUGGAUUUCAUCCUUAUAAAGAGGUUGUCUUCUUGAAUUCAUCAGGAUCUAGAGGUCUAGCCUAUGACUGGAUCAACUCAAAAUUUCAGGACUUGGGCAAUUCAUGGACAUGGGAUUAUGGAAGACCAUAUGGAAUACCAUAUGGAAAGACAGACACAUCUUUCCCAUACACGCCAUGCUGGAUAAGCGAGUUUCCUGGCAACGAAUUAGAAUCUCUACUUGAAGAUGAGAAGCUAUCUAGGAGAAAGUUGGAACAGGAAGCUCAACUUAAAGAGGAAUCCAACUUUACCUACAUGGGUGAGUACGAGCUGCGCAAGCACUCUGGGCACACCAAGAGGGUCAAGGACUCCGCCGCCAAGCUUCAACGCAGACGCCGCAUCGCGGCUCGGUAGCAACCCAUCAUCACCGACAUGAAGUCCCAGGCAAUUCUCACAGGGGCAACCAAGUUCAGCCUUGGCAAGGCCACCACAGAACUAGUCACUGCCGUAGUUGGAUCCUAACUACCUACUUGAUUAGUUUCCUGGAAACAAAGAUGAGUAGGUAUGUGCAAAUCAGAUGCCCUAAUCGUCGCCAGCUUCAUUUAUCUUGCCUUACUUAUCUAUUAUCUAUUUGUGCUCAACUGUUGUCGGAGCCUUGUCUCAAUACUCUGCACAGUUUGUAUCGUUGUUAUUUCGGUUUGCCUUGUAAGACUAUGUGACUUUGUUAUUUUCCGUUAUCGGGCUUUAUUAAUUUAAACCCGAGUGUUUCUUGUGACUUUCUUCUAAAGUAGGUAUGUGCAAGCAAUUGGGAAAAUCAACUUGAAGACGACUCGUGUCUGAGGCCCUGUGUUGUAACUUGUUGGGUCAAUGGAAAACAAUGUUUUAUACCCUUUUUGUGUAUCUUGUAUUUGAUUGGAGAAAGCUAACAUUGCCUGCCAUGCAUCU